RNAcentral lists this transfer RNA (66 nucleotides) under Gari elongata. RNAcentral's name for it is "tRNA-Gly". Lineage: Eukaryota; Metazoa; Mollusca; Bivalvia; Cardiida; Psammobiidae. The record is from RNAcentral.
GCAUUUUUAGUAUAAGAGUAUAGUCGCCUUCCACGCGACAGGUCGAGAUAAUUCCUCGAAAAUGUA